RNAcentral lists this long non-coding RNA (1703 nucleotides) under Mus musculus (house mouse). RNAcentral's name for it is "POU domain, class 3, transcription factor 3 adjacent noncoding transcript 1". Lineage: Eukaryota; Metazoa; Chordata; Mammalia; Rodentia; Muridae. The record is from RNAcentral.
GGAGUCAGUGUAAAGAGAAGGCUAAGGAUAACUCGGCUCUGGAGAGUAGAGAAUAUGCCUUCUCUUCUGCCCCUCCAGGAACCUUACUUUUUUUUUUUUAAACAAAAAACAAAAACAAAAAACAAAAACCAAAAACCAAAAACCAACCACCACCUUUUAUUUAAAAGUCUAACCUUGGGAAUUUGCUGGGGAGAAGGAACUCAGUGAAUAUUGCCCUGGGUCCUGGUAAUUCCACCUACUGAAGACAACUGCCCCUUCUGCUCAUAUUUCCUGAGUCAACAUGGCCGUUCCUAACUUUGAAGAGACUUUAGACAUUCUUUGUUACAAUGAACCUAGAAGAAAGAAGAGAAAUAUUACAGCGACUGUGCCCGGGACUGUAAGGCGGAUAAGACCCAGCAGGAAACCUGAAAGAACAGAGGUCCACUGUCAGCAUUUGCACAGGAGGAAGUAUUUCGAAGCCCCCAUCACCUCGUCUGGCCUUAUAGACCUGCUGAUGAGGAAGGCCUUCUGCUCCCCUCCCCCAACCCUCUCCUCUUUCCAUCUCUUGCCUAAAGGCUGCUCCGUUUGGGGGACUGUGCCCAAGGUGCUGCAUGGUCGACCGACCGACCCCAGAGAAAGGCAGGCAUCAUCAUCUCAGCUGCUCCCUCUGCUCUAAGGACCGGGGACUAGGAACAUUCUGGCAAGAGAAGGGAGGGGGGGCCAAGCUUGGAGUCACACAUGGCUGCAUUUCGUAUGGCAAGGCUUUCUUGUUUGUGCUUUCUUCCUAUGGAAAAAAAAAAGGCUCUGGAAGGGGCCUGGGGAGCCAGAUCAAAUGUUCAAAUGUACUGGCAGGGAGCCAAGGCUCAACUUCUCUGCCAGGAACUCCACGUUCUCAAGUCUUCACUGCUGUUGAAACUGAUCGGGAAGGUUAAUGAGAUUAAUAUGGCCAAACACUGUGGGCUUCUGGGAAGCAAACAGCCAGGUAGGGAGGCCCAGUGUUGGACCAAGGUGGCUGGAAAUAAGGUAUACAACCCACUCCUAGAAAAGCUUGAGUGUUUUUACCGGACAAUCCCUGUGCCGGGGCUGGCGAGGGAAGCGCACAGAACUCUACGUCAUUGCUGAGGGGAAAUUUGACCAACAUCUAGGAUGGUCUGUAGGAAUGGGAUAGUGUGACAAUUCUACAUAUCUUACAAAGAUCAAAUCAACACAAUUCAUAUUUCUGUCGGCUUGAGCAAUGACUAUUCUAUGUUUUGGAGACUCUGAUCCUUUCUCUUCUAGCUCCUGGUACAGCCUAUAAUAAGCUGUAGUGAACUUCAGUCACCCUUCUGUGCUGAAGGGCAUGGGCACCCAGUCUUCCCAGCUAGCCGAGUUUCAAGACUUGGGAAAGGAGUUGCUUGCUCCAAGUGCUAAGUGCCUGUGAACAUUGACUAACUUCCCAUGCCCAAGAACUUCUCAUCCGUUUGGCCCCAACUAAAGACACAACGUAUGUAGCUACCAAAUGACAACUUUCCAGGUCAUCUGCCACCAGAGCCUGCCUCCCUCAGACCCAUACAUGGCACUCACACCUGGUGCAAGUGAGCUUGCUUGUCCUCUCAUCAUCUUGGCACCAUGUCUUCCCCUCUGGUCAUCUUAGUAAAGCCCCAAAGAACGGGCAAUAAUGUGAGAGCUGAAGGCUCGUCAGUGCCACUAUCUGUCUUAUUAUGAAUAAAAAAAUUUAAACCCAA